Molecule: long non-coding RNA, 604 nt
Organism: Trachymyrmex cornetzi
Lineage: Eukaryota; Metazoa; Arthropoda; Insecta; Hymenoptera; Formicidae
Exons: 3
Source: RefSeq, a predicted model, not a curated record
GAGCUGUUAGAUCACAAACAUAAUAUAGAACCUGUAGCCGUUUCUGGUAAAGAUGGUUUGAUAAGAAAAGAAACAAGUACGCUGCUGUUCAAUAAUCGAGUCUUACUUUAGUCACACUUGGGUGUAGAUAAGCGCGCUAUGUAUGUACACACUUCUUCACCCUCCUACACUCGACGGACUCGAUUAAUGAACAGCAGUGUACAUUGCAGGUACAGGAAGUAGACAAAGGAUAUCAUAAAAACAAUGAUCACACAUACGUAAUGUUAAUACAGACAAUUAAAAUGUAAAUGCAACUAAUAAUGAAAAUAUAACUACAAUUGAAAACAAUGAAUUUGUAAGACAAAGUUCUAUAAAUAUCAUGCUAACACAAACCAGCGAAAACAUUACUCCUAAUUUAAAUGAAAAGCAGAGAAAAUUAGGUAGUACAGGACGAAUGCUGCAAAAAUGUGAGAAGACUAUUGAAAAACUCACAGAGAAAGUUUAUCUGAAAAUAAUAUGAAAAAUGAAAGACACAGAGAAUUACUGGCUGAAUAUAAGCAAAUACGACAUAUCAGGACAUAGCAAAGAUGAUAAAAGAAGGAUUUACAACAGCAAAUUAACAUAG